This 2104-nucleotide long non-coding RNA is filed under the name Cyanistes caeruleus (blue tit). RNAcentral's name for it is "lncRNA (ENSCCEG00000022829.1)". The record is from RNAcentral. Lineage: Eukaryota; Metazoa; Chordata; Aves; Passeriformes; Paridae.
CUGCCAUUUACCUACCUGUUGAUAUGCCUUUUUUAAAAAAAAUAAAUCUGAGUUUAACGAAACAAAGUAGGGCAGGCCCACCACAGCUCCUGUAAGACUUCUCUGUUACUUUUCAGAAAAUAGGAAGUUAAAAAAGAAAAAGCUUCCUAUCAUUAUAUCCACUCGGGGUAUCAACAGUUAGGGAAGCACAAUAUUUUAAGUCUUAAAAGCCAUUAUUUUCUCCACACAUUGUCUGUGAAGAUGAAAAGAUAGAGUUCAAUGUUUGUAUGCGGAAUAAAUUGAGGAGUGGUUUCUGCAGGAAGAUUUUCUUUUGGGGUGCCUGCAUUAAACAAGCAAGUUUUUAAACUGAAGGAGGAUAAUACAUUGAAAUGAUAGGAAAGGAAGAGAAGUUCACAGUUAUGAGGAUACUAUAAGGACUGGUUGAACUGAAGGGUGGGUAAGAAAUUAGAUGCUUGCAGAGCACAAAUAAAUGGGUUGAAGAGACUUAGGUAAGAGAUUUCAUUUUUCCACCUGUCUUUAAUUUUUCCCCUUUUUUUUUCAUCACUGAUAUUAUAAGGAUAUAAUCCUUAUAUUCUUACUAUGGAAAUAUAUUUACACAAAUGAGCAUUUAUUUACAUUUCAAAUUUGUAUGCCUACUCUUUUUUUGCCUCAAGAUCUUGGCAGAGGUAUCUCUAUUAUCCCAUGAGAAUCUAUGGAAUAUAAAUAGGUCCCUAAGUCAUGUCUGACAGCUUCAGUUAAUGUGGGCAGGUAGAUUUUACUCUAUGAAAUACGCUUCAUCCAUAACAAUUCAAGUGUACUGCACAAGUUAUGUGAGAAGAGAUGCAAGGUGUGUAAAGAGUUAAAGCUUCCAUGGUAACCUCAGCAGCGAGGAUGCAAUUGGUUCGUUUGGUCCCUUCUGUCACGUCUUGAUUCCAUGCCAACAAAUCAUGAACUGUCCAUCAUUUACACAUCUAUUUUUAGAGCAUCCUCAGCUGCUUCCAAUAAAAUGAUAAAUGAUACAUAUUCACAGAGGGCUCAUACUGGUCACAGAAAGGGCUGUUUCCAUCUGAAAUGCAAGGCUGGAGCUCUGGAGCAGAACAACAUCACAAAGGAUUCUUAGCCAAGUUGUGGACACUAAUGGAAAUAAUUUAAAUGAGGAAAAAAUUGGAUUAAAAAAUGAAAUCUAAAAUGGCUCAGGUAUGUGUUAGCUCAGAGAUAUUUAGUGACCUGAAAAGCAUGGCAGAGUUAUAAAAAUUUAUUUAAUUGAUAUUGAUAGAUGAAAAAAUGGAUUAUAAUUAUCAAGCAUCAUUUACUUUAAUAUUUUUGAAGAAUUGAAGGGUGGAUUUAGAUUAUGGUAACAUUGGAAAUAACAGUAAUCCUAUUUGGAGUGUGCAUUUAUGUUGACUGAUAUCUGACAAGAUACAGAGAUCCUGAUGAAAGUCAUGCCACCAUCUUAUCACUUCAAACUAUCAUCGCUUUUAUUCAGAGAUUGUACUUGGUGAAUACUUAAAUUUGGCAUAAAAUUUAAGCAACUGUUUGUUAUUUUUCCUAUUAUUUAUUUUUAAGAAACUAGUUGAAAGUAUGUUUAAAUUUAUGGAAAAUUAGUCAUCACUAUAAAAAUGUAUAAGGCUUAAGCUCUUUCUCACUAGAAGAUUUGAUACUAAAUUUAUUGCUUCCAGUUAAAAAAAGAGAAAAUACUUAUUUUCUCUCUUUGGCCAGGAACUGAAUUUAAAAGGUUGAAAAAAAUGAUACCUAGGACUAAGGUCUUAAGGAUUAUUUAGGACAGAAUGGUUGGUAAAAGAUUUAAUACAGCCUUAUUGCAGAAAAUGCCAACAUUUCUACUGAUUUCUCUGUAGGAACCAAGGUCAUAAAAUACUGCCUUCCCUCACAUUUAGCCCCUUUCAUUUCUGUAGGUCUGUUUAGGUACAUAAAUUUUGAUUCAUUUGUCUGGCUAAAAAAAAUAUAAUAAUGACAAAUGAACAGUGUGGCAGUGUCACUGUUGAAAGUGGUACCUGCAGCAUUUAUUUUGAGAGGAACAUCCUCCCGGGACUGCAAGUUUUAAAUUGCAUGUGAAAGCAGUAAGAAUUGACACAAAUUCAAGAAAUAGAUUGAAGACCUGGCACGA